RNAcentral lists this unclassified non-coding RNA (346 nucleotides) under soil metagenome. Its description in RNAcentral is "partial contains 5.8S ribosomal RNA, internal transcribed spacer 2, and large subunit ribosomal RNA". The stretch from base 1 to 119 matches the Rfam family "5.8S ribosomal RNA", at positions 35 to 154 of the family's 154-position model. The record is from RNAcentral.
GAUGAAGAACGUAGCGAAAUGCGAUACGUAAUGUGAAUUGCAAAUUCAGUGAAUCAUCGAGUCUUUGAACGCACAUUGCGCCCCCUGGUAUUCCGGGGGGCAUGCCUGUCCGAGCGUCAUUGCUGCCCUCAAGCACGGCUUGUGUGUUGGGCCCCGUCCUCCGAUCCCGGGGGACGGGCCCGAAAGGCAGCGGCGGCACCGCGUCCGGUCCUCGAGCGUAUGGGGCUUUGUCACCCGCUCUGUAGGCCCGGCCGGCGCUUGCCGAUCAACCCAAAUUUUUUAUCCAGGUUGACCUCGGAUCAGGUAGGGAUACCCGCUGAACUUAAGCAUAUCAAUAAGCGGUGGA